RNAcentral lists this small RNA (3740 nucleotides) under Pan troglodytes (chimpanzee). Its description in RNAcentral is "processed transcript". The record is from RNAcentral. Lineage: Eukaryota; Metazoa; Chordata; Mammalia; Primates; Hominidae.
AAUAUCAGUUCCUUUUUCAGAAAUGGGGCCAGAUUCUUGGGAUGUAGACAGUGUUCUCUUCACGGAUGCUAACAACUUAUCAAAGCUAUAAUAUAUUAAGUAUCUCUGUUAUAAUAGGAUAGAUGCAUUCCUAAAAAAAAUGUGUUAAGCAAAAAUCAGAAAAUAAAAAUAACAAGCCUUGAGGAAAAGCAUAGUUGGGAUGAACAUUUAAACCUAUACCCCAGUAAUAAUCCUCAUAAUGAUACUGACAAAGUUGAAAAGAUAUGUUAAAUUCCUAAUAAAUAUCCCAGUAAAUAUAGGAUUACACACACACACACACACACACACACACACACACACACACACUUCUGCCUGUGAGAAGGUAGUGAAUAGGAGGAGUAAUGCAGGUCCAAUUCCAAGGCUGCUAAAUAUGGAGACAAGGAUAAAAAAGCACAAAGAUAGGAAGAACUACCUGACAGGGGUUCUGAGUCAGCAUUUGUCCAGCUGAGCCAAGAGGAAGACUGGGGUGAAUGGACACGCAUACCAUAUUCCUCCAAGGUUGCGUUUUUGUUUUUGUUUUUGUUUUUUGGGGGGUUUUUUGUUUGUUUUUUUGUUUUUUGAGACAGAGUCUCACUCUGUUGCCCAGGCUGGAGUGCAGUGGCACGAUCUCGGCUCACUGCAAGCUCUGCCUCCCGGGUUCACACCAUUCUCCUGCCUCAGCCUCCCGAGUAGCUGGGACUACAGGUGCCCGCCACCUUGUGCCCGGCUAAUUUUUUUUGUAUUUUUAGUAGAGACGAGUUUCACCGUAUUAGCCAGGAUGGUCAUGUUUUUGUUCUUGUUUUUGUUUUAGAGACAGGGUCUCCCUCUGUCACCCAGGCUGGAGUGCAGUUGCACAAUCACAGCUCACUACAGCGUCAACCUUCCAGGUUGAGGAUCACUCAAUACUCAUGCCUCAGCCUCCCAUGUAGCUGGGGCUACAGGGGCACACCACCACUCCUGACCCAUUUUUUAAAAAUUUUUUUGUAUAGGUGGGGUCUCACCAUGUUGCCCAGGCUAGCCUCGAACUCCUGGGCUCAAGCAAUCCUCUCACCUUGGCCUCUCAAAGUGCUGAGAUUAUAGGUGUGACCCGCCGUGCCCGCCUUUCCUCUGAGUUUUGUUGCAUUCAGGCAGCUCCUGGCUGAGGCAAAACAUUAAAAUGCAUAUGGAAAUGCAGGCUGGGAAAAUGCUUUGAAACCAAUGCAAUUUCUAUGUUAAGGGGACAUUCCCUGAUUCUUUCAGGUAAUUUGCAUUCUAGACUGUGACAUUCUGUAUCUCAACUGAUAAAUAAGCCUGUUUGUCAUCCUGCUAGAUGAGAACCUGAUAUAUGAAACCUUUUUUUUUAACGUGGUUAAAAAAAAACAUAAAAUUUACCAUCAUAAUUAUUUUUAAAUGUACCAUUUGGCAGCAUUAAGUAUAUUUAAACUCUUGUGAAACAAAUUUCUAGAAUGUUUUCAUCUUGCAAAACCGAAACGCUGUAUCUAUUAAACAACUCCCCUUUUCUCCCUCUCUUCAACCCUGGUAACCAUGUUUUUAUGAAUUUGACUACUUUAGAUACCUCAUAUAAGUCAGGUCAUACAGUAUUUGUCUCUUUGUGACUGGCUUCACUUAGCAUAAUGUCCUCAAAGUUUAACUGUGUUGUAGCAUGUAUCAGAAUUUUAUGAAAUAUGAAGUCUUAGACACCCCAAAGUACAUUUUCACCCCAAAUGUAUUUGAACAGUGUUAGGCUGGGGGUGGGAGGCGGGAGUCCUUCUUGCUUUGCCUGUGCAAUGAAAUGAAUACCCUGCUGUGUUUAUCUCCUUGUCAUGUGAUUCUCCCAGGUUGUUUCUUCAAGUUUCUGAGCCAAACUUAACUCUAAAAAGCAAAUAUUCUGUGUUAAAAGACAGUAAUCAACACGGGAGCUACAUCAGACAUCAUAGGACAAAUUGUCAUCUAGAAGAGUAUAUUUUUAAUGCAGGAGAGUUUUUAAAACCCAGAUUGGUGUGAUUUCAUUCCAGAGAGCUCAGACAUAUGCUCAGCAAGUCUUGCAGAAGGAAUGUCGUCCCAAGUUUGCCAAGACAUCAAUGGCGCUGUUAUUUGAGCACAGGUAUAGCGUGGACUUACUCCCUUUUGUGCAGAAGGCCCCCAAAGACAGUGAAGCUGAGUCCAAGUACGAUCCUCCUUUUGGGUUCCGGAAGUUCUCCAGUAAAGUCCAGACCCUCUUGGAACUCUUGCCAGAGCACGACCUCCCUGAACACUUGAAAGCCAAGACCUGUCGGCGCUGUGUGGUUAUUGGAAGCGGAGGAAUACUGCACGGAUUAGAACUGGGCCACACCCUGAACCAGUUCGAUGUUGUGAUAAGGUUAAACAGUGCACCAGUUGAGGGAUAUUCAGAACAUGUUGGAAAUAAAACUACUAUAAGGAUGACUUAUCCAGAGGGCGCACCACUGUCUGACCUUGAAUAUUAUUCCAAUGACUUAUUUGUUGCUGUUUUAUUUAAGAGUGUUGAUUUCAACUGGCUUCAAGCAAUGGUAAAAAAUGAAACCCUGAACGUCCCCACAAUCGGUGUCAUUGCCGUUGUCUUAGCCACACAUCUGUGCGAUGAAGUCAGUUUGGCGGGUUUUGGAUAUGACCUCAGUCAACCCAGAACACCUUUGCACUACUUCGACAAUCAGUGCAUGGCUGCUAUGAACUUUCAGACCAUGCAUAAUGUGACAACGGAAACCAAGUUCCUCUUAAAGCUGGUCAAAGAGGGAGUGGUGAAAGAUCUCAGCGGAGGCAUUGAUCGUGAAUUCUGAACAUAGAAAACCUCAGUUGAAAAUGCAACUCUAACUCUGAGAGCUGUUUUUGACAGCCUUCUUGAUGUAUUUCUCCAUCCUGCAGAUACUUUGAAGUGCAGCUGAAGUUUUUAACUUUUAAUUUAAAAACACACAAAAAAUUUUAGCUCUUCCCACUUUUUUUUCCCUAUUUAUUUGAGGUCAGUGUUUGUUUUUGCACACCAUUUUGUAUAUGAAACUUAAGAAUUGAAUUGGAAAGACUUCUCAAAGAGAAUUGUAUGUAACGAUGUUGUAUUGAUUUUUAAGAAAGUAAUUUAAUUUGUAAAACUUCUGUUCGUUUACACUGCACAUUGAAUACAGGUAACUAAUUGGAAGGAGAGGGGAGGUCACUCUUUUGAUGGUGGCCCUGAACCUCAUUCUGGUUCCCUGCUGCGCUGCUUGGUGUGACCCACGGAGGAUCCACUCCCAGGAUGACGUGCUCCGUAGCUAUGCUGCUGAUACAGGGUCUGCGAUACAGUGGCGUGAGGCCUGGGCUGGUCGGAGAAGGGCACAACCCUUCUCUGUUGGUCUGCCUUCUGCUGAAAGACUCAAGAACCAACCAGGGAAGCUGUCCUGGAGGUCCCUGGUCGGGGAGGGACAUAGAAUCUGUGACCUCUGACAACUGUGAAGCCACCCUGGGCUGCAGAAACCACAGUCUUCCCAGCAAUUAUUACAAUUCUUGAAUUCCUUGGGGAUUUUUUACUGCCCUUUCAAAGCACUUAAGUGUUAGAUCUAACGUGUUCCAGUGUCUGUCUGAGGUGACUUAAAAAAUCAGAACAAAACUUCUAUUAUCCAGAGUCAUGGGAGAGUACACCCUUUCCAGGAAUAAUGUUUUGGGAAACACUGAAAUGAAAUCUUCCCAGUAUUAUAAAUUGUGUAUCUAAAAAAAAGAAACUUUUCUGAAUGCCUACCUGGCGGUGUAUACCAGGC